Molecule: ribosomal RNA, 768 nt
Filed under: uncultured organism
Description: bacterial SSU rRNA
Rfam family: Bacterial small subunit ribosomal RNA
Source: RNAcentral
GCGCAGAUAUCGGAAGGAACACCAGUGGCGAAAGCGGCGCCCUGGGGUGGACCUGACGCUGAGAGACGAAAGCUAGGGGAGCGAACAGGAUUAGAGACCCUGGUAGUCCUAGCUAUAAACGAUGGAUGCUAGGUGUGGGCUCGAGAAGACUCCGUGCCGGAGCCAACGCGAUAAGCAUCCCGCCUGGGGACUACGGCCGCAAGGCUAAAACUCAAACGAAUUGACGGGGCCCCGCACAAGCAGCGGAGCGUGUGGUUCAAUUCGAUGCUACACGAAGAACCUUACCUGGGUUUGACAUGGAGGUGGUAGGGAAGCGAAAGCGGACCGACCCUUCGGGGAACCUUCACAGGUGCUGCAUGGCUGUCGUCAGCUCGUGCCGUGAGGUGUCGGGUUAAGUCCCGUAACGAGCGCAACCCUUGCCCUUAGUUACAAGUGUCUAAGGGGACUGCCGGCGGUAAGCCGGAGGAAGGUGGGGAUGACGUCAAGUCAGCAUGGCCCUUAUAUCCAGGGCUACACACACGCUACAAUGGUCGGUACAAAGGGCAGCGAAGCCGCGAGGUGAAGCGAAUCCCACCAAAGCCGAUCGUAGUUCGGAUUGCAGGCUGCAACUCGCAUGCAUGAAGCUGGAGUUGCUAGUAACCGCGCGUCAGCCAUAGUGCGCUGAAUACGUUCCACGGGGCUUGUACACACCGCCCGUCACGUCAUGGGAGCCGGUNACGCCUGAAGCCGGUGGCUCAACUCGCAAGAGGGAGUCCGUCUAAGGCGGGG